This 471-nucleotide ribosomal RNA is filed under the name uncultured bacterium. RNAcentral describes it as "bacterial SSU rRNA". It matches the Rfam family "Bacterial small subunit ribosomal RNA", at positions 28 to 507 of the family's 1533-position model. The record is from RNAcentral.
GAUGAACGCUGGCGGCGUGCCUAACACAUGCAAGUCGAACGGAAUUUACAUGAAGCCUAGCGAUUGUAAAUUUAGUGGCGGACGGGUGAGUAACGCGUGGGUAACCUGCCUUGUACUGGGGGACAACAGUUGGAAACGACUGCUAAUACCGCAUAAGCGCACAACUUCGCAUGAAGCAGUGUGAAAAACUCCGGUGGUACAAGAUGGACCCGCGUCUGAUUAGCUGGUUGGUGAGGUAACGGCCCACCAAGGCGACGAUCAGUAGCCGGCCUGAGAGGGUGAACGGCCACAUUGGGACUGAGACACGGCCCAAACUCCUACGGGAGGCAGCAGUGGGGAAUAUUGCACAAUGGGGGAAACCCUGAUGCAGCGACGCCGCGUGAGUGAUGAAGUAUUUCGGUAUGUAAAAACUCUAUCAGCAGGGAAGAUAAUGACGGUACCUGACUAAGAAGCACCGGCUAAAAUAACGUG